RNAcentral lists this long non-coding RNA (1222 nucleotides) under Sus scrofa (pig). Its description in RNAcentral is "lncRNA (ENSSSCG00050074499.1)". Lineage: Eukaryota; Metazoa; Chordata; Mammalia; Artiodactyla; Suidae. The record is from RNAcentral.
CCGGGUGGUGCUGAACUGGACAGCUCCCUGCGCGGCCAGCUUCGCGCGCUCCCCGGCUCCCAGGGCGGCCCGCCAGGAGGGGGGCGCGGGCCAGAGUCCUCCCUCCCCUGCGGGGCAGCAAGGCCGGGGCAGAGCGGGGGCUGCCUUUCCUCUUUUCACCCCUCUCCCCAAUCCUAAAAUGAGCGCUCUCCUGGGCUCCCGGAGCUUAGAGGAAGGCGUAGCUAGAGAGAGCUCCGCUCCCUCUCCCUCUCACACUCUCCCCUGCCCUCCCCCCUCCGUGUUUCUUCCAGCUCAGCCUCCUUCUCAUUCCAUCUCUACGUGCCCAGAGCUUCAAAUACAACCCUCCCAUCGCAAUCCGACGGGCACAAAACUUCAACCAGCCGUUUCCUUGCCUGGGAGCCCUGAAAAUAUAACCUGGAUGGACUGUGCUUCUGGGGUCGCCUCCGAGAUAACUUGAGCCCGAACAGCUGUCCCCGAGCCUGUUUUUGCCGUGUUUGUGGGAGAAGGUGAGUGCCACAGCUUACGCCUCCGCCGUCGUGAUCCUCCCCCUACCCCCCACCCCGGGCCUGUCUUUUUGAGUAAUCAGAGCUAAGACACUCUUAGGUAUGCCAUUUAAUAGAUUAGGAAACCGAGGCACAGAAGAGUUACGUAAGAGAUGCCGAAUUGAAAGAAGGUCUUUGAAACGAAAACACCUUGGGGUGUGUGUGCGCCUGUGCGUGUGAUGGGUCCAGGAUGGGACAAGGUGAGAUGGGUGUGCAGGCCAGGACAAGGAUUUGGGUCAUUCACUUAGGGACACAGGGGGAUUUCCAAGGGCUUUAUGCAGAUGGGGUGGCACGUUUUGAUUGAUGCUGGGACUGUGUCACCGUGGUGACGGAGGAAAACUAGGAUUAGAGGGGUUUGAGUAGAUGUCAGGGGGGGAGUAGGGACUCUGACAGCCUUCUGGGGGAAAUGAGUUCCCCCCUUGGUCUCUGGAGCUCUAGGGGACACCGUGAGUGCCAGAGAGUCUCUGGGCAUCAGAGGGGCUCUGUCCCUGCAUCCAGGGUUCUCUCCCCUGCAGGGUUCAUCUCUUACGGGGAAACAUGCACUUGGUGACCUGGCUCCACCCCUCCCCGUCCCAUGCUCCUUUCCCAUGCUCUGAGGUCACAGAGUCCUUCCUUGCCCACCCCCGCCCCUGCCCACCGAGACCCCUGUCAGAGAGCCUGGCACCCCUACAGCCCAGCCG